AGAGUUUGAUCCUGGCUCAGGAUGAACGCUAGCGGGAGGCUUAACACAUGCAAGUCGAGGGGUAACGAUUGGGAUUUCGGUUCUGAGGCGACGACCGGCGAACGGGUGAGUAACGCGUAUGCAACCUGCCUUUUACAGGAGAAUAGGUUUCGGAAACGGAAAUUAAUGCUCCAUAACGCUGCACUAUGGCAUCAUAGAGCAGUUAAAACUCAGGUGGUAAAAGAUGGGCAUGCGUAACAUUAGCUAGUUGGUAAGGUAACGGCUUACCAAGGCAACGAUGUUUAGGGGACCUGAGAGGGUGAUCCCCCACACUGGUACUGAGACACGGACCAGACUCCUACGGGAGGCAGCAGUGAGGAAUAUUGGUCAAUGGGCGCAAGCCUGAACCAGCCAUCCCGCGUGCAGGAAGACGGCCCUAUGGGUUGUAAACUGCUUUUCUGACGGAAGAAUAAUCGCUACGUGUAGCGAGACGACGGUACUUCAGGAAUAAGCAUCGGCUAACUCCGUGCCAGCAGCCGCGGUAAUACGGAGGAUGCAAGCGUUAUCCGGAUUCAUUGGGUUUAAAGGGUGCGUAGGCGGAUUAAUUAGUCAGUGGUGAAAUCUUUCGGCUCAACCGAGAAACUGCCAUUGAUACUGUUAAUCUUGAGUUCGGUUGAGGUAGGCGGAAUGUGUAAUGUAGCGGUGAAAUGCUUAGAUAUUACACAGAACACCAAUUGCGUAGGCAGCUUACUAGACCGACACUGACGCUGAGGCACGAAAGCGUGGGGAGCGAACAGGAUUAGAUACCCUGGUAGUCCACGCCGUAAACUAUGAUUACUCGUUGUUGGCGAUACACAGUCAGCGACCAAGCGAAAGCGAUAAGUAAUCCACCUGGGGAGUACGCUCGCAAGAGUGAAACUCAAAGGAAUUGACGGGGGCCCGCACAAGCGGUGGAACAUGUGGUUUAAUUCGAUGAUACGCGAGGAACCUUACCUGGCUUAAAUGUAGAGUGCAUAAUCGGGAAACUGAUUUUUCCUUCGGGACUCUUUACAAGGUGCUGCAUGGUUGUCGUCAGCUCGUGCCGUGAGGUGUCGGGUUAAGUCCCAUAACGAGCGCAACCCUUAUCAUUAGUUGCCAUCGGGUCAUGCCGGGGACUCUAAUGAAACUGCCACCGUAAGGUGAGAGGAAGGUGGGGAUGACGUCAAAUCAGCACGGCCCUUAUGUCCAGGGCUACACACGUGUUACAAUGGUCGAUACAGAGGGCAGCUACCUGGUGACAGGAUGCCAAUCUCGAAAGUCGGUCCAAGUUCGGAUCGAAGUCUGCAACUCGACUUCGUGAAGCUGGAAUCGCUAGUAAUCGCAUAUCAGCCAUGAUGCGGUGAAUACGUUCCCGGGCCUUGUACACACCGCCCGUCAAGCCAUGGAAGCUGGGGGUGCCUGAAGUACGUAACCGCAAGGAGCGUCCUAGGGUAAAACUAGUGACUGGGGCUAAGUCGUAACAAGGUA
Molecule: ribosomal RNA, 1485 nt
Filed under: metagenome
Description: bacterial SSU rRNA
Rfam family: Bacterial small subunit ribosomal RNA
Source: RNAcentral